Molecule: ribosomal RNA, 564 nt
Filed under: uncultured Glomeromycotina
Lineage: Eukaryota; Fungi; Glomeromycota
Description: SSU rRNA
Rfam family: Eukaryotic small subunit ribosomal RNA
Source: RNAcentral
UUGGAGGGCAAGUCUGGUGCCAGCAGCCGCGGUAAUUCCAGCUCCAAUAGCGUAUAUUAAAGUUGUCGCAGUUAAAAAGCUCGUAGUUGAAUUUCGGGAUCAGACUGUCGGUCGUGCCUCGGUACGCACUGGCAUUAUUGGUUCCUACCUUCUGAAGAACCGCGAUGUCAUUAAUUUGGUGUCGCGGGGAAUCAGGACUGUUACUUUGAAAAAAUUAGAGUGUUUAAAGCAGGCUUACGCUUGAAUACAUUAGCAUGGAAUAAUGAAAUAGGACGUUUGAUUCUAUUUUGUUGGUUUCUAGGAUCGACGUAAUGAUUAAUAGGGAUAGUUGGGGGCAUUAGUAUUCAAUUGUCAGAGGUGAAAUUCUUGGAUUUAUUGAAGACUAACUACUGCGAAAGCAUUUGCCAAGGAUGUUUUCAUUAAUCAAGAACGAAAGUUAGGGGAUCGAAGACGAUCAGAUACCGUCGUAGUCUUAACCAUAAACUAUGCCGACUAGGGAUCGGAUGAUGUUAAUUUUAUAAUGACUCAUUCGGCGCCUUACGGGAAACCAAAGUGUUUGGGUUC